This is a long non-coding RNA of Osmerus eperlanus (European smelt), 1101 nucleotides long. RefSeq lists it as uncharacterized. Lineage: Eukaryota; Metazoa; Chordata; Actinopteri; Osmeriformes; Osmeridae. The transcript is spliced from 3 exons. The record is from RefSeq and is a predicted model, not a curated record.
GUCAUCAGCGGCAAGGCAGGAACGGCGACGGAGCACGCACUCGCUCUGUCUCCACAGCGCUCGUGACAACAUGAAAGCGCGAAAAUUCCAAAAUGAAUUUGUUACCAACUAACGAAUUCACUGUCUUCUGAAAGAUUCCCCGUAGUGUCCGAUGUUCAACCCACUACCAUAACAGUCGCACGGAUGUUUGCGCGCGAUGAGACUUCUCUGCAUCAGACAAACUCAAAUGGCCUGGAGGCACAGAACCAAGAAGACAAGAUGGACUCUAGGAAUGCAAGUCAGCAGAAGACUGUUCCAGGUGUCCACCAGAUGCUGCAGGCAGCCUGCUCUGUCCCACUCACCAUAUGGAACAGAGAAGAGUCGGCUCUGACUGGAAAAAAGGGAUUAAAUAAGAUCUCCUGAGGCAUUAUACUGUAGGUUUAGGAUUAUAUUUUCUGUAUGAAUGAUAAAAUGAAAGCUCUUAUGUAUAAACAUUCACUAUAACUAAAACCACUGACAAGUUUCAAGAUUUAAAAUUAGUUUGUGAACUAGUAUUUAAAAAAAUCUAGAUAUAAAAUCUAAAAAAAAUAUUUCUGGCAUAAUAUUCCUGUAUUUCCCCAGCACCUUCAUAACACAAUCACAAACAACACUAACACAGAAACACCUACAAAAUCCAGAAAUAUUAAAAAUAGUUUUGUCGCACUUUGCACUUAAAUACAUUUGAAUUUCUCACACAGUGUCAGAUCAAACCCGUGAAUUCAGUCUGCUUGAACCGAGAAAACCAAAAAGGGUUUUACCUUCUGUUCAGACGAGCAACUUAACAGUUAACACAAGCAACAAAGCCAGACCUUUGCAAAGCAUUCUGGGAAACUUGGCUGCCGGAGAAAGUGGCUGCUUACUUCCAGAGCGACUAGCUUUGCCGGGGCUGAAAAUGAAGUUUGAAAGUGGAAAUGAGACCUGCUCAUGGCUGCAGGCUCAGUGAGCUCUUAAAGGGAUAUUACCAAAACAUUCCUGGGCAGUAAGCAAGACCCGAACAGUACAGGACAGCACACUUUCACAUAAAAUGUACAGUUUAGAUGUAAGUGGCAGUUCCUGUAAAACUAGUACUUAAAUACCCCCCCC